CCCUUAGAUGUUCUGGGCCACACGCGUGCUACACUGAUGCAUUCAACGAGUCUAAAACCUGGUCUGAUAGGGCUGGGUAAUCUUUUGAAAGUGCAUCGUGAUUGGGAUAGAUGAUUGCAAUUCUUCAUCUUCAACGAGGAAUGCCUAGUAAACGCAAGUCAUCAGCUUGCAUUGAUUACGUCCCUGCCCUUUGUACACACCGCCCGUCGCUCCUACCGAUUGAAUGAUCCGAUGAAUACCAUGGAUUGAGAGUUCGAACAGGUUCGCCUGUUUCAGCUUCUCGAGAAGUGGAGUAAAUCUUAUCAUUUAGAGGAAGGAGAAGUCGUAACA
This 330-nucleotide ribosomal RNA is filed under the name uncultured eukaryote. RNAcentral describes it as "partial 18S ribosomal RNA". It matches the Rfam family "Eukaryotic small subunit ribosomal RNA", at positions 1470 to 1796 of the family's 1831-position model. The record is from RNAcentral.